UAAUCUGUUUGCGACAACACCAUCAUGCCUGAACAAGAUUUAGUGAGGUAUCUUGAAAGAAGAUACGAAUACUUCCCAGAGGGACAUGAAAUUAUUCUUCAUCGUGUUCCGGUUGUGGUUGUUUUUCGAGCUGUUAACAGUACAGAGAAUGUAGAACAGUAACUUCCGAGUCGUCCGCCGUCACCCGCCCAAUCCUCCGAAGAAUAAAGUAC
Long non-coding RNA from Adelges cooleyi (spruce gall adelgid), 212 nucleotides. RefSeq lists it as uncharacterized. The transcript has 3 exons. Lineage: Eukaryota; Metazoa; Arthropoda; Insecta; Hemiptera; Adelgidae. The record is from RefSeq and is a predicted model, not a curated record.